RNAcentral lists this small nuclear RNA (102 nucleotides) under Myotis davidii. Its description in RNAcentral is "U2 spliceosomal RNA". It matches the Rfam family "U2 spliceosomal RNA". From Rfam's summary of the family: U2 is a small nuclear RNA (snRNA) component of the spliceosome (involved in pre-mRNA splicing). Complementary binding between U2 snRNA (in an area lying towards the 5' end but 3' to hairpin I) and the branchpoint sequence (BPS) of the intron results the bulging out of an unpaired adenosine, on the BPS, which initiates a nucleophilic attack at the intronic 5' splice site, thus starting the first of two transesterification reactions that mediate splicing. The record is from Rfam by way of RNAcentral. Lineage: Eukaryota; Metazoa; Chordata; Mammalia; Chiroptera; Vespertilionidae.
AUCGCUUCUCGGCCUUUUGGCUAAGAUCAAGUGUAGUAAAAAUGCACCUAGUUUCUGACAGAAAUUUCAUUUUAAUGUAUUCAUUAUACAGAUAUACUCAUC